Molecule: long non-coding RNA, 271 nt
Filed under: Glycine max (soybean)
Lineage: Eukaryota; Viridiplantae; Streptophyta; Magnoliopsida; Fabales; Fabaceae
Description: long non-coding RNA (GMAX_LNC000847)
Source: RNAcentral
UUCUGUUUAGUUUUUCCUCUUCACUAAUUACUGUGAAUUUGUUGCUUUUAAUUCAUGCAUGCUUAGUGCUUGAUUAAUUGUCUCUGCGCUUAAUUUACGUUCAUGCUUAAUGAUCGUUUAUGAGUAAUUGGUGUAUGUGAUGCUUAAUCACAUAAUGAAUGCCUUAUGUUGAAUGUCGCUUAGUAAUUUAAUUUAGGGUUGGAUUAAGUGGUUAAACUGAUAAAGGAUAAACUCUCGUAACCUAGGAUAAGAGACUUGCUUGUGAAUCAAG